GGAAAGGGGGGCCACUGAAAAACCCUCUAAAUCCGCCUCUGAUGUGGCAUUAAACAUUCAUAUAUUGUACAUUUAUGUUUAUCUAAUGAAUUAAUUAUUAAGGCAAAUAAUUUAUAUGUUAUCAAGGUUUCAAUAGCAAUGAAUAUAUAAAUGUAUAUUUUUUAUGGUGAGUCUGCAGUGGUACAAGUUCGCAAUGAUUGUAGUUGUUCUAGUUGGUAGUUAACGUUGGUUUUAGUUGACUGUUAGUAGUACGUGUUGACUUAGUACGAACAUGUAAUAGUAUGAAAUUCAUACUAUUACAUGUUCGUACUAAGUCAACAUACUAUGAAUGGACUGGUUUCCCUGUAAAGAAAACUGAGUAUGUGUUCUAUAGUACAAUAGUUAUGCGACACAAAUCAGACAAAUGUUCACU
RNAcentral lists this long non-coding RNA (412 nucleotides) under Mytilus galloprovincialis (Mediterranean mussel). Lineage: Eukaryota; Metazoa; Mollusca; Bivalvia; Mytilida; Mytilidae. The record is from RNAcentral.